RNAcentral lists this unclassified non-coding RNA (10325 nucleotides) under Hevea brasiliensis (rubber tree). The record is from RNAcentral. Lineage: Eukaryota; Viridiplantae; Streptophyta; Magnoliopsida; Malpighiales; Euphorbiaceae.
UUAAAAAAAAAAAAAAAAAAGAGAGAGAAUGAACAUACCAAAUAUGUGAUUAUUCUAAGACAAUAACAGCUAACAUUACUAACAUUAUUACAGAGGCUAACUUCUCCUAUCACUACGAACAAAACAAUUAUAAGCAUCAUAAAGCAGGAUGACAACUUUUAACCGCCAGAGGCCAACUUUAACGAUGGCAACAACAUGCAUUCAUUGCCUCGUCUUCCACAAUACAGCAACCAACUAGUCCACCCAAAUUGUCAACCACCAAAGUUCAAAAGGAAAUAAAUCCCUUCCCCACAAUAAAUUUGUAUGCAAUAGAAAAUGCUUUUUAUUAAAUAACUCAAUAGCUGCCAAAAAUUUUAAGAACUAUUAGGAAAUACUUCAAAAUUAUUUAUCCUAAAUGUAUCAUACCAAUAUUGAGUAUGUUCUUAAAAUCAUAUAAGAACAGAACCUAAUCUUGGUGUGCAAAAACUGUCCCUGAGAACGGAAACUUAGUCUUGGUGUGUAAAAGCUGGUACGAGAAUAUCCCUGAGUGUAAGUACCAAAAAAAAGUCCUUUACAUUUGCAUAUGUAAAGUAUAACCAAUAAAUGAAAAAUAAUACAAAUAACCAAAAAAUGGUUAAGCUUGAGGAUUAAACUUGGGACCUUUUGAUUCAACCUUAACGACUGAAGCAAGGUCUCAUUGGCCUCUUCAAGAGCAGUUUAAAGCACAUACUGUAAGUUAUUGUAAGAUCUAGUCGAACGCCAGAGUCACUUCCCGCCCUCCACAGUCAUCAACAAACAUGUCUCAACCCAAAUUGAACAGAGUAUACCUUUUACAAUAGACAUUUCCAUUUAGAAAACGUCAAAAAUGCUUGUAUAGUAUAUCUGGAAGUUUUACCUUAUUAUCAUCUGUGAUUUCAUAGAUACAAUCAUACAAAUAUGCUGACGUUCUACCUUCUUAUCAUCGGUGAGGUUCUUCGCAGCUGAAGAUGCAGAAACUGAAAAUUCAUGAAUCCAUUUAACAACAUUGGUGUCAAUCAAAGUUCAGCUAUGAACAGUCAUUGCAGAGUAUAGAGAUGCUAGAUCAGUAUAUAAACAAAACCACAAAAACACAGAAACGUGUACGCACCAUUACAUUUUCUGAAGGACCAAACUAAAAGGUACCAAGAAACAAAAAUGGAAAAUACACAAUUUCAAAAAUCUAUUUUAAACAGUAGCACAAAAAAAGGGAGAAGAUCUACAACCUCAUGGGACAGAAUCUGAGAUAUUACUCAAAAUGACUUAUUAUACAAAGGGUGUGAUGCCCACUGAACGCAACGAGCUAUGUAAUUCACACAAUACUAGAAUACGAUGACAGGAUAAUACAAAAUCAACACGAAAUCUUUGAGUGAAUGUGCUAUCAAUCAUUACGGGAUUGCAAAGUAAAACACAUGCACUUAUCUUUCAUCGCUUCAGCCUCACUUCCAUAUUCUUUGAAUUUGUACUCUUCCUGCUUAAAAACAGGAGGCACCUUUCCUUCACUGUAGCACUGAUUACAUAGACUAAAAUGAGAUUUCAUCUCCUUGAAGCGAGACCCAAUAAUUGGGUAGCGGCAGACUGAACAAACAUGGUUUCCGUGGCGAUUCCUAUCUCCAGUCUCCAGCUUCACUAGAGUUGACAUAAUACCAAAACCCCAAUCAGGAUCAUCAAACAUCACAAGGAAAUCAUUGAAAGAUACCAUUGAAGAAUCUGUCUCCCCAUGAACUUCUAACAUUUCACUAACUCCUCGUGAAGGAACGUAAAUAGCCCUCAGCAACUUCAUAUAACGAACAGCAUCACUUUUUCUAAUCUGAGAACCACCUUCAUUCGCAGGACGCCACAAAAGUGCAUCAAAAGCAAUCCGUUUUCGCUUGUCGGGACUGCCACUACAAAUGGGGGCAAGAACAGCAUAGAACAUGCCCACGUCCACCCUGCCUGAGCCUGUCUCAUCCAAAAUAGAGAGAACCCUCUCAUUUAUUGCCUUGACAGUCCCCUGAAAGGUUUCAGGUUUCACGAAAUUAAGUAACCUCCGAAGAAUUUCCUCCAAGUUAGGUUUGCGUAUGGAUUUCUCUGGAACACCACCGCCGGAAUAAGACAACGGGGCAUCAUUUUCAUUCAUUUCCUUCUUCAAAAGCUCCACAUCACAACGACCCAACCUGGUAAUCCUUUGAAAUGCCCUAAUUUGAAGAGCAUUGACCAAGUCCUGCCUCAAAGUAGUUUUCUCACUCACUGUCUUAAAUUUUGAGGGUUCCACAACAACAAAAGCUCCCUCCCCAUUUGCACCUCCAUUAGGCUUGAGCUUCUUCUUCUGCAGCUGCUUUAAAUGUGAUAUUGCAUCAUGCAAUUCAACCCUAUUUGUCAUUUUCAAAGCUUCCUUCAAAGCUUUCUUAGCUUCCUCAGUUUCACCAGCCCCCAACAACGAGACAGCCUUAUUAAGCUGUGCCCGCCAAUGGUUUGGCCACACAGCUAACACCCUGGUAUACAUUUCAGAAGCUCUCUGAAACCUGCCCAAGUCCAUGUAAAGUCCACCCAAAUUAUACAAAGCAUCCACAUGGCUGGGUUUUAAAUCAAUAGCCUUUUGAAAAACCUCUAUGGCCUUCUCAUCAUCACCCAUGGCAUGCAAUGCAGAAGCCAGAUCACAAUGGGCAUCAGCAUAAUCCGGUUUCAUAAAAAUAGCCUCUUCCAAGGCCUUAACAGCCGCCAUAUAUUCCCCUACCCCGAAUAAAGCACUACCCAGAAGUUUCAGUGCUCUAAAAUGAGUAGGGCAAAGAAUAGCAGCUUCUCUAUAAUAUUCACAGGCACUUAAAACCAUACCCUCACCUUCUAGUGCAAUACCAAGAUUGACAUAUAUCUGAGGAAGCAAGUAAGCCCAUUGAUUUCCACCUGCCUCAGCUGCCUCCAGGGCCAACAAGAACUCCUCUUUAGAUUGCUUAUACCUCCCAAGAACAUACAAGCAAUUCCCAGCUCUAAAAUGUGGCCUAACAUCCACAGGCUGCAACUCACAAGCUCUCUUAAAACUCACCAAUGCCUCCUUAAACAACUGGUGCUCAUACAAAACCCUCCCAAUCGCCAUAUGCCCAUCAAACGCCUCUUCUCUCGAUCUCGCCCCGUCAGCUCGGCUCCUCAGAACACCCAAUUCCUUCACGAAGACUGCGUAAUCAUGCCCCGACUCCUCCCAAAAUAUCCUUUUAUCCGAUAUCUCAGAAGAUGGGCCCAGUUCCCUCGACCACCCAGCAUCAGAAUAGGCAUCAAAAUUGUCUCCUUUCAAUUUCCCAUCUUUCGCUUGCUUGGCUUUCAAUCUCUUAACCAAAAUCUCCAAAUCGUCGACCAUUUUCCAGGUAUCAUCGAAAACAAUCCCAUGGUUAGGAGAAACCGCCCACGCAGCAGUUGUCUGCUUUUUCUGCGAUUCAAUAGCCCUCUCGUCCAAAAUUGACGAGGAAGACGCCUCAGACGCAAUCGAGAUCCCUUUGUUAUCGUCCAAAUUGAGCUCGAGCUCAAGCGCAUCGAAGUCUCGGUCGACGUCACCAGCUCCGUCAUCAUAAGUACGCAACAAGCCGUCGUAAGUUAAACCUUUCUCGCCGUCGAUGAACUCGCCGUAAGUACGAAACACUUCAUCGAGAAUGGCAUUGAUUUGCUCGUCACUGAAUUUGACCCUAGGGUUCACAGCGACCACGAGAGCCGCCAUUUCUUCUCUGUUGAGACCUCCAUCUCGGUUAGAAUCAAAUUUCUGAAAAAUUCGCUUCACCUUCUCUGAUCUGCUCCCUCUGGUUGUCAUUUUAGGUGCUGGUUUAGUUUUGGGGUUUGAAAACUGGAGUGUAUAACGCGAAUACAGAUAACAAGCAACUCCGUUGAAGUUUCAAUUCAUUAAAGUAGGGUUUAAUUUUGUGGAUUAUCGUUCUCUAAUCUUCAUUGCAAAUUCCUUUAAGCAGAAAGGGAAAGGCGAAACUGAAAAGGGAAGGAAGAGAGGAGUGGAGCUGUUUUUUCUUUCUUUCUUUUGUUUAGCUCUCUUUUGUUCAAUUUGUCCGUUAGCUAUUAGUGAUGUGCUGGAGCUACGUCCUGCAUAGGUGGCCACCGCACACCGGUCCGGUCGGAUAAGGUUUCUGUUUGGUUUGGAUAGGUGAUGGAAGGGCAAUUAUCGAAAGGGCAACCCUUAAUUUUACCCUCUAAUUUUAAUUUUGAAGUUUUUUUUUUUGUUAUGAUAGUUCCUCAAUUUCAAUUGUGUAAAAAAAAAUUUUAAUUUUAAUUUAAUACUAUUUGGCUCUAGCGCUUAGUAUUACGUCUAGCCAGAAACUUAUCUGGACAUUAUAUAUAAUAAAAAAUAUUACUCUUUUUUAAGUGGUGGAGAGAUUUGUUUUGACUGGUCUAAGAUAAGUACAGACCAACUUUUAGUUGAAGCACCAAUAAAAUCAAGUAAGGUGGAUUUGAAUGGUAUUAAAUUAAAAUUUAAAUAUUUUUAUGAUACAAAUUGAAAUUAAGAAAUGAUAACUUUCAAAUCUAACUCUCAAAGUUAAGAGAGGAAGAGUGAAAUUAACCCUUAGCCAAAAUCUUAAGAACAUAAAACGUUCAUUCCCUUUUCUAUUUCCAAAAUAAACUUAUUGUGCCCCAUAUACUGCACCUGAUGAAUUUAAGAAUUAGGGAGGUGGAGGUGGAAUCCUACAUUUCGAGUGUGUUUGGCCCUAGCAAAGAAACAAAGAUUGAGCAGUUUAGAAGGUUCCAUCAAAGUAGAAGAAUCUUUUCCUGCAAUCUUUAGGAGAGAGGCAAAUGGCUUAAGGGGGUAGACUUUUGCAGGCCUUGGCAAAUAAACUAUGUCACAAGAGGACAAAUCCACUUGACAGGAGAAGAUAAUAAAAACAUAGUUACAGUAUGCAUACAAAGAUCCAAAAAGAUCAAUUAUUGUGUAUAAAUAAGAUGAUGGCCUGCUUCUUAACAGGAUAAUUGGAUAGAAAGAUAGGUACAACACUUUGCAACCUUGUAGUCCCUGUUCAUUUUCUUCAUCCUCCAUUGCUUUGAUGCCCUAAUAUGGGACCUUAGAUAUUGUGGUAGAGAUGGGAAAGGCAAGCAAGUGGAUAAUAAACUUCUUGCUAGGGAAAAAAGAGGAGAAAGAAAAGAAGAAAAAUAUUGCUUUCUAUGAUGGUAUUGGUAGUACUGUUGCAACUCCAACUUCAAGUGUACCAUCAACUCCUUACAAGCGUAGAUGGAGCUUUGGGAAAUCAGCAAGCAAAGAGCGGGUUCAUAAAUGUUCCAAAUCUCUCGACUCAAUAACCCCACUUAUAGCACAACAUGCAUCCUUAUUGGAAUGGGAAAAUCAGCAAAGUAAUAAAAAGGUCAAGGCAUUGGCAGCACCCACAGAAACUAUAAAAAGAGUUGUGGCACCGAGGCAUGUGGCAGCAGAUAGAAUAAGCAAAUCAGUUGAAGAUGCAGCUGCCACCAGGAUCCAAGCUGCCUUCCGUUCUUAUUUGGUACUAAUAUAUUUGUUUCAUUUGCAUAUCCUGUUAAGAGAGAGUAAGAAGACAAAUCAUAUUGAUUGAUGCAUUUUUGCAGGCAAGAAAAGCAUUGUGUGCUUUGAGGGCCCUAGUGAAGUUGCAAGCACUGGUAAGAGGUCACUUGGUGAGGAAACAAACAACAGCUACUCUCAGGCAAAUGCAUGCCCUGAUGGCAAUACAAGUGAGGGCUCGGUUUCAAAGAAUUCAGAUGGCUGAAGAAUCAUCACAGCUUGUCGUAAGAAGCCAAUCAUCCAGGCGAGGAAGUUCAUCUCAUGACAAUGGACUCAGAGGUGCAUAUAAAGUAAGUAUUAGAGGAACUUUGUCAAACUUUAUGAGACAGACACAUAAUUGAUUUGAAUCUUCAACUAGUGGUUUGUGUGGGUAACCUGUUCAUUUAGGAGGCAAUCGACCUAGAUAUUUAUGAAACAAAAAGAAUUUUGAAGAACAAACAUGAGCAUUUGAAUCAUUCACAAAUGGAGAGAAGGGAGCAUGGGCGUACCAAAUACUACUCGGAAGAACUCUCAAUCUUAAAGCAAGAGCACCAGUACGAGGAGUUUUCCUUCUCCACAGCACAGAAUAGUCCCCAAAUCUGUUCCCCAAUUCCCAAUACAAUCCCUGGAAGAGCCUCUUUCACCUAUCAGAAGCCAGAUUAUGUGCACAGUAUUUCUCAUCCAAACUACAUGGCCAACACAGAAUCUUCAAGGGCUAAAGUCAGGUCACAAAGUGAACCCAAACAGAGGCCCAAAUGGGGCAUGAGACCAAAAAGCAACCAAAUGGCUUCAAUGGACGGAAAGAAUGCCCAGCAAGAAGCUCGCAUUCAAGGCUCAUCCUUUCACUUGAUGCCCAUUGCUUAUGAAAACCAAGACCCCUGGUUCAUCAAGCUCUAUCAAUCAACCAUGUCAAAGGAUAUUGAUUGUGAUCCCAAAAGCACGAGUAGCUCUAGUUAUCCCAACCACAGCAAACUUCUGGUUGAAUAUGAGGUAGGUUUUGCAUUAAAUUUCUUCUCCAUUUCAGAAUCUUGCAAACGCUGUUUUUCUAACUCUUCUGAAUCUUUUGACAGCAGCCCCAUUUGAAUCUGUACUAAAUGGUAAUCCAAAUUCUGAUGUGGUUCUUUAUACCAAACAAAGAGCUGCUGGAAGGAAUAACAGACAUACAAUUUGGUUUGCUAUGAUGUAAUAUCAUGAAAAACACUAUAAGUUUAUGAAUCUAGUGUCACCACAAGGGAGUAUCAAGUUCAAGUUCACCCUAGAACCUUUCAAGGCAGAAUUCUUCUUCUAAAGCUAUGAAAUCAGUUUCAUUUGAAGAUUUCUGGCCACCAACAAUUGCAGACAAAGGAAGAAUGCAUCCUCUGCAGCACAAAAUUGCACACUAAGAUUCCUUGGAAUUAACAUAGCUUUCCUUUCUGAGGGGAAAAAAUUAAAGAAACCAGAUCGUUGGCAUAUAGAAUAUCAUAGCUAGAUGACUUGUGUAAAACAUGAUCUUUCAUGAGAAUCAUAGAAAGAACAAUGAUUUCAUUGUUUAUUUAAUAUGUUAAAUUAUUUAAUAGGUUAAAGAUACAACAUACAGGAACAAUAGGUGAAAUACCAAAAUUUUUUUUCCUUCAUUUGCAAAUAGUGAAUAACAGCUUUUCCCAGAAGUGUCACAAGCAACAAACUUGAACUUUAAUCAUCCACUAAAACUAACCUUUGAUCUCCGAAAAAGCAUAAUGUCAGUUUGGACACCACAAAUGUCUAUGAUCUUACUGGUUUAAUGUUUUGUGGAAUGCAACAGAUGUUGAUGUCUUCAGCAGCUCUCUAAUGGCCAUUGUUGCAUAAGAUGAAGCUGGAAGAGUGAAGCUUAACUUGAGAGCCAUUUGGGCUUCCUGUGAAUUAGAGUUGCAUAGAGACUCAACUUCUGCUCGCCCUACUUCUCGCUCACCCUCAGUCUCAUUAUAAUCUGUUGAUACAUGUAUAUUAUUUUGAAAGCUCGCUGGUGGUCCCAUGCAAUCAGAUGGGUUUUUAUUCUCAUCUCCAUUGGCUUGUUCUUCUUCUUUGAAUAAGCUCUUAGAUUUAACCUUGGCAAUUCUGUCAAAAUCUGUCUCUGCCAAUGGUAUAUUACCAUCAGUAUAUGAGAGUAAUUCCCAUUCAAAGUCCAUUGGCUUCUGAAAAACACGCCUAUAACUUCCAGUCAUGCUAGUUAUUGAAAAUUCCUUGACACUAUGCACACUCUCAGCCAAAUUGAUAGCAUCCUGAUCAAAACAAAUAACAAGGUAAUUAAAAGAAAAAAGAAAUUAAAAAAGGUUCUGAGAAGGCUAGAGUUUGAACUUUGAAUGUGAAAUAAGUAAAUAAGUUGAAAGAAGAGUGACAGCAUGACUCCCCAAGGGGGCAUGCUUCCUAACUUUGGAAUAAUAAAAGCAGUCUAACUCCCAUGCUUUGUAAUUUGUACUUCCUCACAUGGAAGGAUAAAAGCAGAGAUGUAUGCACCUUGGUUGUAUUGAGGGGUUGAGCCCAAGGUGCUCUUCCCCAAUAAAUAUUAAAUUUUCAUGAUGAUUGAUAAAACAUUCAAGGACUUUCCAGAAUCCUUCUUAUACAGAGGUAGUUGAUAGAUUGUUAAGUUAUUUCAGACCUUCUUUGACAAAUCAUGAUAAACUUUGGCAAUGUCAUUUGUUGGAUAAGACACCCUAGAGCUGCCAAAACAAAAAGUGUUAAUUUCAUUGUUGACUUGUUCUUUUUAAUUUAAAAACAGGUAAGAGCAAGAUUGGUUUUGCCUUACCCAGGCAUAGGAAGGAUCACAUCAUCAAUAGUAUAAUUUCCAGAAGAGAUAUCUUCUGCAGUUACUGCCUGCCAAAAGAUAGGCAAUCAUCUUUAAGUUCUCAAUCUUACAUUAAACAUAUUCACUUUAUGAGUGAUAUAUAAUCAGAUUAACAACAGAGAGCACCACCAGCAAAAUACUAUUCAUUGUAAACUUCACAUACAUGAUAGGGAAAAAUAAGUGAUCCAGUACCAUUACUCUAAAGAUUGGCACAUAUGUACAGAAAAGGAAGAAAUAGUUUUGUGAGAGCUAUAAUAUAGAAUUGACCUUAACAGGAGUGUUUUUCCAUUCAGGAACAUAUGUUCCAGAGGUUUCAUCUAAAUUACUGCAAUCAUACAUGUCAUCACAGCUAUGAUCUUCACAUUCCGAAUUAAAUCCUGAUGUCUCUCUUGCAGUAUCAUCUCCUUUGCAAUACACCAAGUCCCCCACCACAACUCGGUCAAUUCCAUAUUUUUGUACUCUCACACUUGCUGCAUGGUUCCAUAAAUAGCUUUGAUAACUGUGUACAUACAUCAUUCUCAAAGUUCUAGGUAUUGCUUUCAGGGCCUGCAAGUAGUUGCCAGGACAUUUCUUCAUACAUUGAAGUAUGGCCCUUUCAGCAAUCAAGUGCCGAGGUAAUUGCCUUAGGGUCCCUUCAAUAUCAUUGCUUUCUCUAUAAUAUUCUCGUGCCUUCCUCACCACAUCUCUUUCCCCUUCUCUUGGAUCAAGGAUCAUGCUUGCAGCACUUUUCCACUCUCCUCGGAGCAAUGCAGCCCCAAUUAGAUGUGUUGGCACAGAACCACUACCAAAACGUUGUAAACCAAAGUAAUUGAUGAAGCCAUGCCUUCCUAAUGAAUCUGCAGACCUCUUAAUAGUAUCUUCAGAAUCUGCAACAACUCCUCGUAAUGUAAUGGUGAAUUGGUUACCUAGGAGCUGCCCAAGAAGAAGUUCUUCUGUGACAUGGCAGAAGUUACCCACUUUGAUACCAAUCAAUCUGUCAUUAAGAGCUGCUAGUCUAGUAGCAUGCUGCUUGAAAACACUAACCCUUUGUGUUGACACAGAGCGCUUAUCCUUUAUACCCGCAAACCCAAAACAUCGUGGCUUAAUGCCAAGCAUCUUUCCUAUUAAUCCUAUGGCUUCGUGUGUAUCUUUGUUCUCCUUGUAAAGAUGAAACCUAAGAAACUUGCCAAGGUGCUCUGGCCAAUUAUUUGAACCUCGGCAAUCAAAGGGCUGACCACCUCUGUCCUUCCGUUUCUUGGAAUUUCUUCCUCCAUUGUUAUGUCCUCCAGACUUCAAUCUCACACGAAUGCAUUUCAGUGAAGCAUCAGGUCCAUCAACUGUAUCAGUAACAAGGAACUUGAACUUCUCCUUGAAGAAAUUAUGCAUUGCCGUUCGAUGGGCCUUAUCAGAAUCCGGAGAAAGAAGGAUUGGCGAAAUGUUAUUGCUUUCUUCACUUCCCGCAGUAAAUUGAGUGAGAAAAGCUUCAAAACGCUCCCCAUCAGAAUCACCGGCAAGUGACCUGAACGCUUCGAUUUCAGAAGCGUAACUUUUCCCAAUUUGAUUCGAUACCUUAUUCUCUCCCUCCUCUGCGGCCUCAGCAAGCUGUGCAGGAACUUCCAAAGAGGUCAAAUGAACUACAUUUCCAUCCUUAUCAACUUCGUUCACUAUAAAAUCGGAAUACCUUUGCUUGAGAAUGCCGCGAAAGCCAGGAAGUUGGGAGAUAUAGCAGAAGAUGCCUACGUCAGAUUCAUCUGUGGUCAUCUUGGCGGUUGCCAUUAGAGUUUUUAGACAACAGCCGGCGAUGGGAGUGGCGGCGAUGGCCGUUUUCCGAUAAGUGGAGUUGCAGGACGACGACGGGCAUGGUUUUACUACUGAACAGCACCGCAACGACACGGGGUUGUGCCACCACAUUUCGGGGGUUUUAGCUUUCACGAUUUCUCCAAAACGCGACUUUCUGGACUUCACAGGCUCUCUCACACAUUCAGAUGAACCCACUUCUCAUAGCACAUGAAAUAACUGUAAUAACUGUAAAAGAAUUGUGAGUAUAGGAUGGACGGAGCAUCUUAUAAAUUCCCUUUG